GACUAACGCUGGCGGCGUGCCUAACACAUGCAAGUCGAACGAUUCUUUGAUUUAUAGCAAUAUUUAUUAAAGAGGAGUGGCGAACGGGUGAGUAACACGUAGAUAAUCUGCCUUUCAGACGGGGACAACUCAGGGAAACUUGUGCUAAUACCCGAUGAGACCACAAGAAGGGAUUUUUGUGGCCAAAGGCGGGCAGCAAUGCUCGUGCUGAAAGAUGAGUCUGCGUCCUAUCAGCUAGUUGGUGGGGUAAAUGCCUACCAAGGCUAAGACGGGUAGCCGGCCUGAGAGGGUGAACGGCCACACUGGGACUGAGACACGGCCCAGACUCCUACGGGAGGCAGCAGUGAGGAAUUUUCCGCAAUGGGCGCAAGCCUGACGGAGCGACGCCGCGUGAGGGAUGACAGCUUUCGGGUUGUAAACCUCUUUAUUAAGAAAAGAUCUAUAUGCUAAUAUCAUGUAGAUUUGAUGGUACUUAUUGAAUAAGCCCGGCUAACUACG
This 498-nucleotide ribosomal RNA is filed under the name uncultured bacterium. Its description in RNAcentral is "bacterial SSU rRNA". It matches the Rfam family "Bacterial small subunit ribosomal RNA", at positions 28 to 505 of the family's 1533-position model. The record is from RNAcentral.